RNAcentral lists this ribosomal RNA (339 nucleotides) under Triticum aestivum (bread wheat). RNAcentral's name for it is "partial small subunit ribosomal RNA". Lineage: Eukaryota; Viridiplantae; Streptophyta; Magnoliopsida; Poales; Poaceae. The record is from RNAcentral.
AUGGCUUUAGGGACGGACCUCUGUCCAAACAGUUACUGGCAAUAUUUCUCCUGGUGCCACACUUUCCUUCCCUAUGGGAAGAAAUACUAUACUGUUGGCCUGGCAGCUGUUUGCUGGGCUAUCUGGUUGGCUAGAAAUCGAGCCACCUUUGAGAAGAAACAGAUUAAGACACCGUUUGAGAUUGUGUUUUCUGUGUGCUCCUUUUUUCUAUAUUGGGCAGGUCUUCAGCAAGGUGAUGGAGUCAAGGAGCUGCGCAGUGGGGCGGCGAUGGUCAGGUCAAGCACUAUGAGCAUGAUGAAGAUGUGCGAGGCGGCGAGGAGACCGAUCGAGGGAGAAUGA